CCUACGGGAGGCAGCAGUGAGGAAUAUUGGUCAAUGGACGAGAGUCUGAACCAGCCAAGUAGCGUGAAGGAUGACUGCCCUAUGGGUUGUAAACUUCUUUUAUAUGGGAAUAAAAUGUUCCACGUGUGGGAUUUUGUAUGUACCAUAUGAAUAAGGAUCGACUAACUCCGUGCCAGCAGCCGCGGUAAUACGGAGGAUCCGAGCGUUAUCCGGAUUUAUUGGGUUUAAAGGGAGCGUAGGUGGAUUGUUAAGUCAGUUGUGAAAGUUUGCGGCUCAACCGUAAAAUUGCAGUUGAAACUGGCAGUCUUGAGUAUAGUAGAGGUGGGCGGAAUUCGUGGUGUAGCGGUGAAAUGCUUAGAUAUCACGAAGAACUCCGAUUGCGAAGGCAGUUCACUGGACUGCAACUGACACUGAGGCUCGAAAGUGUGGGUAUCAAACAGGAUUAGAUACCCGUGUAGUC
Molecule: ribosomal RNA, 460 nt
Filed under: uncultured bacterium
Lineage: Bacteria
Description: partial 16S ribosomal RNA
Rfam family: Bacterial small subunit ribosomal RNA
Source: RNAcentral